CCUACGGGAGGCUGCAGUGAGGAAUAUUGGUCAAUGGGAGGAAUCCUGAACCAGCCAUGCCGCGUGCAGGACGACGGCUCUACGAGUUGUAAACUGCUUUUGUACCGGGGUAAAAUGCCUUACGUGUAGGGUUUUGAAAGUACGGUACGAAUAAGGAUCGGCUAACUCCGUGCCAGCAGCCGCGGUAAUACGGAGGAUCCGAGCGUUAUCCGGAUUCAUUGGGUUUAAAGGGUGCGUAGGUUGUUUUAUAAGUUAGCGGUGAAAUACCGAUGCUCAACAUCGGGGCUGCCGCUAAUACUGUAGGACUAGAGAUCGGAUGCAGCAGGCGGAAUGUGUAGUGUAGCGGUGAAAUGCUUAGAGAUCAUACAGAACACCGAUUGCGAAGGCAGCUUACCAAGCUACUUCUGACGUUGAGGCACGAAAGCGUGGGGAGCAAACAGGAUUAGAUACCCUUGUAGUC
Molecule: ribosomal RNA, 460 nt
Filed under: uncultured bacterium
Lineage: Bacteria
Description: partial 16S ribosomal RNA
Rfam family: Bacterial small subunit ribosomal RNA
Source: RNAcentral